RNAcentral lists this ribosomal RNA (865 nucleotides) under uncultured beta proteobacterium. RNAcentral describes it as "bacterial SSU rRNA". It matches the Rfam family "Bacterial small subunit ribosomal RNA", at positions 8 to 867 of the family's 1533-position model. The record is from RNAcentral. Lineage: Bacteria; Pseudomonadati; Pseudomonadota; Betaproteobacteria.
AGGGUUUGAUCCUGGCUCAGAUUGAACGCUGGCGGCAUGCCUUACACAUGCAAGUCGAACGGCAGCAUAGGAGCUUGCUCCUGAUGGCGAGUGGCGAACGGGUGAGUAAUAUAUCGGAACGUACCCUAGAGUGGGGGAUAACGCAGCGAAAGCUGCGCUAAUACCGCAUACGAUCUACGGAUGAAAGUGGGGGAUCGCAAGACCUCAUGCUCCUGGAGCGGCCGAUAUCUGAUUAGCUAGUUGGUAGGGUAAAAGCCUACCAAGGCUUCGAUCAGUAGCUGGUCUGAGAGGACGACCAGCCACACUGGAACUGAGACACGGUCCAGACUCCUACGGGAGGCAGCAGUGGGGAAUUUUGGACAAUGGGCGCAAGCCUGAUCCAGCAAUGCCGCGUGAGUGAAGAAGGCCUUCGGGUUGUAAAGCUCUUUUGUCAGGGAAGAAACGGUGAGGGCUAAUAUCCUUUGCUAAUGACGGUACCUGAAGAAUAAGCACCGGCUAACUACGUGCCAGCAGCCGCGGUAAUACGUAGGGUGCAAGCGUUAAUCGGAAUUACUGGGCGUAAAGCGUGCGCAGGCGGUUGUGCAAGACAGAUGUGAAAUCCCCGGGCUCAACCUGGGAAUUGCAUUUGUGACUGCACGGCUAGAGUGUGUCAGAGGGGGGUAGAAUUCCACGUGUAGCAGUGAAAUGCGUAGAGAUGUGGAGGAAUACCGAUGGCGAAGGCAGCCCCCUGGGAUAACACUGACGCUCAUGCACGAAAGCGUGGGGAGCAAACAGGAUUAGAUACCCUGGUAGUCCACGCCCUAAACGAUGUCUACUAGUUGUCGGGUCUUAAUUGACUUGGUAACGCAGCUAACGCGUGAAGUAG